UCUCUCGCUCUCUUGCUCUCUGCCGCCCACUCAGCGCACGCUGAAUGUGCGCAAAAUAUCGUUUUUGCGCAAUGGUUUCAAUCCAUGAGCGCAACUUUAAAACUCUCAAAUUCAAAGCCACUUCUUGCAAACGCGACGUACACACAUACACUAACAGCAGAGCGGAUUGAGGCAGAGAAACGGACAGCUGCAGCGGCAGAGGCAGAGGCAGCGCAGCAGGCAACUGCAGGCUGCAACGCUCAGCUUGGAAGUAAAAGGCGUUUUCCCUAAGACAGAGCGAGUGAAAGGAAGAGCAGCAUGAAUGUUUGGUGAAAAUUAAUGCAACAACAACAGCUGCCGGUUCUACGGGAAAUACGAAUAAUAAAUAUACGCUGAUGGUCAAAACUCACGUGCUAAAAAUA
Molecule: non-coding RNA, 401 nt
Organism: Drosophila virilis
Lineage: Eukaryota; Metazoa; Arthropoda; Insecta; Diptera; Drosophilidae
Source: RefSeq, a predicted model, not a curated record